UCUUCAGAGGAGCCAGAAUGCGAGGUGCUCGUCGAUCUGUGGAAUCGACUAGAGUUCCAUCUGAGAGGGAAGGUAUGGACACCUUUCCCCCUACUCUGCCAAGAGCGCAGUCGUGGGGAGUUAGCAGAUGGGGAACAUCUAGGGACCCUGGAAGGUCUUUUGAUGUAAGCAGAGAAGGAAUGGCUCCAAGAAGGAUGUCAGCUAGUAUGAGGGAAGUAGAGAUGGG
This 226-nucleotide long non-coding RNA is filed under the name Manihot esculenta (cassava). Its description in RNAcentral is "long non-coding RNA (MESC_LNC010067)". Lineage: Eukaryota; Viridiplantae; Streptophyta; Magnoliopsida; Malpighiales; Euphorbiaceae. The record is from RNAcentral.